UGGCCAAAAGAUUCUCUCUUCAGAGGGCCUUGCAAUUGUUUUUUGAAGAGAGUGAAGCUGCAGCCAUCAUGAGGAGGAUUCAGGAGGAGAAUGUUGGCACCCCAUCUACCCAACCUAGAGAACCACCAUCUGCAGAGCCUGAAGUUGCAGCCAGCAGCAACAAAAAGAAGUGCUGUGAAGUGUGUGGACCCAAGAUGGACAGAAAAACACAGCAUGCUUCAAGUUCAAGAACUACAUAUGCAACAUACACACAGUAAAACUCUGCCCCUCAUAUGUUGUAUAGGCUGGUAUGAAAAGGCAAUGUGUUCAAUGGGGCUGACAUGUUACUGUAUGUGUUCAGCUUGUGUUGUGUAAACUGACUUGAAUGUGUUCAAUUUCAAAUGAUGUUCAAAUAAAUGAAAAUCAGUAGUUA
Molecule: long non-coding RNA, 412 nt
Organism: Stegastes partitus (bicolor damselfish)
Lineage: Eukaryota; Metazoa; Chordata; Actinopteri; Pomacentridae
Exons: 2
Source: RefSeq, a predicted model, not a curated record